Molecule: long non-coding RNA, 1152 nt
Filed under: Papio anubis (olive baboon)
Lineage: Eukaryota; Metazoa; Chordata; Mammalia; Primates; Cercopithecidae
Description: lncRNA (ENSPANG00000038832.1)
Source: RNAcentral
AUUCGUCGCCGGCGUGAAUUAUCCCGUAUUUUUUUCCCCCUUCCGUCACCUCCCGAAAGAAGAAGGCAGCUAGAGCCCGGCGCCACCGGCACAACAAAAAGAGCAAAGUGUGUGAUCUUCCUCGCCGGCUGCCUCCCGCUCUCCAGCGCUGCCUUCCUGAAUGGCUGGCUGCGUCCGGCCCUGGACCUGGCCCCCCGACACCCGCGCGCCCUGAUCGCCGCCGGCAGCCUCGCCCAGCGCCCUGCUCGGCUCACCGCGCUCCCUGCACUCCCGAGCCCGGCGAGGGCUCCCGCCGGGACAGCAGCGGCGGCGGCGCGGGCGGCCCCGGCCUCCGCUCGCGCUCCGGCUGCGGCCCCGACUCCUGCUCGGACUCCGGCCCGGGCCCGGGCUCCUCCAGCGGCGCUCGCCGCAGCAGCUCCGGCGGCAGCUCCAGCGGCGCCUGCAGCCGCGACCUCCUCCUCCUCCGCCGCCGCCGCCGCCUCCGCCCUCGCCGGCUUCCUCUAUGUCGGCUCAGCCCGCGCGCUGCGCGUAGCCCGAGCGGCCGGCGGGCGGGCGGGCGGGCGCCCGGCGCGGGUGAGCGAGUGUGUGUGCGAGUGUGUGUGUGCGCGGGGGUGCGGGCGAGGCGGAGGGCGAGUGUGUGCGCGCGCCGUGGCCCAUGCCCGCCGCCCCCGGCGCUGCGCCCCGCGCCGCUCCCGGCUGCCGCCUGUGCCAUUUCUGAUUUUGCAACUUGGGGAAGAAGAAAAAAGCGAGAGAAGGGAGCUUGCUCGCCGGGGGGUGGGGAGGGGGGAAGGAGAGCGCGGCCCCCCCAGGAACGGAGCGCGGGGGGAGCGGGCGAGGGGAGCAGGGGUGUUGGGGGGGGAGCCUGAGAGCCUGGGGGGGCUGCAAAAAGAGAGAAAGAAAACAGCAGGAACCACAACAAAACGCCAGCAGGGCGGGCGGGCGCGCAGCAGCAGCGGGGCGGCCGAGGCAGUAGCGGCGGCAGCGGCGGCGGCGGCGGAGGCAGCGGCCGGUGCCCGGCUCGGGCUCGGCUCCUGCGACCCCGGGGCGCCCGGCGGGCCCCCCGCCCCCUCCCCCUCCCCCCUUCCCCUUCCCCUUCCCCUCCCAGCGCGCCGGCGCGCCCCGCGGCCCUCGGCGAGCAGCUCGGCUCCCCCC